CCCCUUCGGGGGCUGAUCAGUGGCGAACGGGUGAGUAACACGUGGGCAACCUGCCCCUAGCUCUGGGAUAACUCCGGGAAACCGGGGCUAAUACCGGAUACGACCUUGGUGGACAUCCACCAGGGUGGAAAGUUUUUCGGCUAGGGAUGGGCCCGCGGCCUAUCAGCUUGUUGGUGAGGUAACGGCCCACCAAGGCGACGACGGGUAGCCGGCCUGAGAGGGCGACCGGCCACACUGGGACUGAGACACGGCCCAG
Molecule: ribosomal RNA, 256 nt
Filed under: uncultured bacterium
Lineage: Bacteria
Description: partial 16S ribosomal RNA
Rfam family: Bacterial small subunit ribosomal RNA
Source: RNAcentral